RNAcentral lists this ribosomal RNA (406 nucleotides) under uncultured bacterium. Its description in RNAcentral is "partial 16S ribosomal RNA". It matches the Rfam family "Bacterial small subunit ribosomal RNA", at positions 30 to 526 of the family's 1533-position model. The record is from RNAcentral.
AUUGAACGCUGGCGGCAGGCCUAACACAUGCAAGUCGAACGAGUGGCGGACGGGUGAGUAAUGUCUGGGAAACUGCCUGAUGGAGGGGGAUAACUACUGGAAACGGUAGCUAAUACCGCAUAACAUCAGAUGUGCCCAGAUGGGAUUAGCUAGUUGGUGGGGUAACGGCUCACUAAGGCGACGAUCCCUAGCAGGUCUGAUAGGAUGACCAGCCACACUUGACCGGAUACACGGUCCAGACUCCUACGGGUGGCAGCAGUGGGGAAUAUUGCACAAUGGGCUCGAGCCUGAUGCAGCCAUGCCGCGUGUAUGAAGAAGGCCUUCGGGUUUUAAAGUACUUUCAGCUGGGAGGCGUUACCCGCAGAAGAAGCACCGGCUAACUCCGUGCCAGCCGCCGCGGUAAUAC